GGCUCAGGAUGAACGCUAGCGGCAGGCUUAAUACAUGCAAGUCGAGGGGCAGCAUGACUGUAGCAAUACAGUUGAUGGCGACCGGCAAACGGGUGCGGAACACGUACAGAACCUUCCUUCGAGCGGGGAAUAGCCCAGAGAAAUUUGGAUUAAUACCCCAUAGUAUAUUAGAGUGGCAUCACUUUGAUAUUAAAGAUUUAUCACUUGAAGAUGGCUGUGCGGCUGAUUAGGUAGUUGGCGGGGUAACGGCCCACCAAGCCUUCGAUCAGUAACUGGUGUGAGAGCACGACCAGUCACACGGGCACUGAGACACGGGCCCGACUCCUACGGGAGGCAGCAGUAAGGAAUAUUGGUCAAUGGACGAAAGUCUGAACCAGCCAUGCCGCGUGGAGGAUGAAGGUCCUCUGGAUUGUAAACUUCUUUUAUAUGGGACGAAAAAAGGGUUUUCUAACUCGUCUGACGGUACCAUAUGAAUAAGCACCGGCUAACUCCGUG
This 495-nucleotide ribosomal RNA is filed under the name uncultured bacterium. Its description in RNAcentral is "bacterial SSU rRNA". It matches the Rfam family "Bacterial small subunit ribosomal RNA", at positions 21 to 507 of the family's 1533-position model. The record is from RNAcentral.